Macaca mulatta (Rhesus monkey) is the source of this 1550-nucleotide non-coding RNA. Lineage: Eukaryota; Metazoa; Chordata; Mammalia; Primates; Cercopithecidae. The record is from RefSeq and is a predicted model, not a curated record.
UUUUUUUAAUGACUAGAGAAAAUUCAAAAGAACCAUGGACUGACUGUGAAUUGAAAGAUCAGGAACCUGGCCCUGCUUUGCCACUAACAAAAUACAUGAUGCACUGAGAAGAAAAUAUCACUUCUAUGCUAUUCCUGCUCCAAGUGCAUCACCUGAUUCUAAUUAUCAGAAAACAGCAGACAAAUCCAAAUUGAGAGACAUUCUGCAAAAUAACUGGUCUGUGUUCUUCAAGAAUGUUAAGGUCAAGAAAGACAAAGAAAGACUGAGGAAGUGUUCCAGAUUAAAAGAGAAGCAGAGAGAUGCGACAACUACAUGCAAAACAUAAAUAUGGGAUUUUUCUGUUGUUAUAAAGGACAUUAUUGGGACAAAUAGCAAAAUCUAAGUAAGGUCUGUGGAAUAGAUAAUAAUAUUGCAUCAAUCUUAAUUUGAUAAUUAUUUUUCGGUUAUUUAAGAAAAUAUCCUAUUUUUUCUUAUUUUUAAGAACCUCACACUGACGUAUUCAGGAGCAAAUGAUGGUUGUCAUGUCUGCAACUAUCUCACAUAGUUCAGAGAGAGAAUGAGUAUGUGUGGGUGACACAGAAAGGGAGAGAAAUAAAGUAAAGGUGUUAAAAUGUUAACACUGAGGAAUCUGGAUAAAAGGUAUAUUAGAAUUAUUGUACUAUUCUUAUAACUUUCAUAUGUCUGGAAAGUAUAUUAAAAUAAAAAAUUUAAAAAGAGUAUGACAGAAAAAAAUCUUAGUUACAUUAUUAUGGAACAUACUAUAAUUCAAUACAUGUUUAAUUAAAAUAAAAUGACCUUGAACUUCACAUAAUAUAUAUCCCUUGAUUGUUUUCGCGUAUCAAGCAAUUGCAGCUGUUGUAAGCUGUCACUCAUAUAGAUUUCUCUCAAAUUUAGCUAUACCAGUGGGGAAAAAAUGGCAUGAUAAUCCUUAACAGCUGACAACUUAAAGCCAUUUGCAAAGUAUUGUCUCACUAAUUCAAACAAACAGGAAGAAUAAUAUAUAGCUGAAAUAAACAAUAUUUUAAAAUAAACGUUUUCUUUGUACUUCUAAAUGGAUAUUGCAAACAAAAAUAUUAAGGAAAUGUUGCCAUACAGAGAUCCUUCAAGCUAGUGUCAAAGAUGAAGUGUGCAUGUGUAUAUAUAUACACAUAUAUACUAUAAGUAUAAAUGAGUUUUUGUUAUUUAACAUGUAGUCUAUAUAUGGGCUGUUAAAACACAGGCUAAUAUUUACUGUAUUCUUACUAUGCCAAUGCUUUAGAUGCAUUUAUUAAACAAACCAACCCAUCGAGUAGGUUUUAUUAUUAAUGUAAAGCUUAGCUCACACUUCUCCCUGAAAUUACAUGUCAUUGGCUUCCAAUGUUUUUCUGUUGUUCAUUUCUGUCAAAUCAUAACUCAGAUGUGAAAGUUCAAAUGCCAACUCCAGCCAAGUCUUCCUUAAUCCAACAAUCAGAACUAAUCAUUCUUGCUUCUGAAUUCCUACAAGCCUUUAUUCAACAACAUUUGUUAAAGUUUUCCUAAAUAUAUGUAUUAAACACUUGCUACAUCCAAAA